Non-coding RNA from Prunus avium (sweet cherry), 5036 nucleotides. The record is from RefSeq and is a predicted model, not a curated record. Lineage: Eukaryota; Viridiplantae; Streptophyta; Magnoliopsida; Rosales; Rosaceae.
CUCGAAUCUAAAGCCAUCGUCCGCAAUAAUCAAAUCAAAUCUCCAAACCCAAUUCGGAAUUCCUAGUCCGAGUAGGAAAACGAAAGCCAAAACCCUCAAAACCACCAACCAGAAAAUUAGAACUAGUCCUUAACCUACGCACCCCCCAAAAACCCGAACCCAAUCUAAACAUGCGCCACCACAUUCUUCACGAUCCGCGGCUUUGAGGACGACAAAAGAGAAAAGAAAAAUAAAGAAGAAGAAAAAGUUAUAAAAGAAAAGUCGCAUCGCGAGAACUUUCUCAGAAGCCUUCACAUUGAUAACGAUCCAAAGCCCCCUCCCUCUCUCUCUCCGCGCUCAAGUUCCUUAGAAUUUCUUGGUCGUUUCGCUGAGAAUGCGAUUGCAAUUGCCCGGAUCCAAGCUUUUGUCUCUAAAUUCGGAGCAUAAUCGGACUGAGUCUGCUUAGGGUUUUCAAAGAGGUUCAAGAGUCCAGAAGCUAGGGCUAGGGUUAGGUGUCAGUAUGUUGCAGGCGGAGGACAGCUCGAAUUGGAAUCAGUUACCGGCCGCCUAUGGAUUCGCCGGCGUGGAUCUCGACGAUGAGGGUAUGUCGAUGGAUGUAGACACGCUCUUAGGCCUUAUCGCUGAAGAAUCCCCGAGUCGUCCACCGAAUUAUUCAUUGGAAAAUCAAUUGCAAGCUGAAGCAGUUUCCGAUGCUCAGCUCCAAAGUGGAUUUCAAGCGUUGAAAGAAGAACCACCAAUUGAAACUGAUUUAAUGGGUCCAGGCUCUUGGCAUACUCCAUACAGCUUAGAAGCUUCAGAUUCUGGGGCAGGGGUUCCAGACGGCUCUUUUGAAUCUGCAGGGAACCGUGCAAUGAGUUUUGAUUACAAAGAGAUGGAACCAUCAGCACACACUGGUUCUCCUGGGCAUGCCUACUCUACAAGUCUUAAAGACUGGAAUUCCUUGUUUCCAGGCAAUGAGGCUUGCUUUGCAGAGAGGGUUGCAGUUUCACAGCCCACAUGUAGUACGGCAUCUAGUUUUGCUGAAGGGCAUGCUAACCACAUUUUGGACCACAGAGAUCCCAAUGUCCUGCAGGGGAAAGCUGACGUGGCGGGGAAAGUUGAUUCUGAAUAUGCUUCACAAUGCCUUGGUAUUGAGAACAUGGAUCUAAGUUACGGAACCUAUGGCAAUUUCGGGGAGAAUACCAGAGAAACCCAAGGACCUUCAGAAAAUAAUUCCUGCACAUCUAUGGAAACUACUCUCUGUCAAAAUUCUGAUGUUUUCAGUGACCAUUACCCAGCUUUGUGUGGGAUGAGCUUAGAUAAUACGUUUUUGGCUGAUACCUUAAUGCAUCAUAGUCCUACUAGAUAUUAUUUUCCGAGUAAUGAAGAAAUGAUGGCUAAUGUGAAGGAUGAAUCAGGGGAGUUUCCAACUGAUAGUUCAUGUUCAAGUAGUAAGAUGAAUUUAAAUGGUCAGGAGGGAAUAACUGGUAAAUCUGCUUUCCAGCCAUCAAUGAUUGAUGUUUUAGAUGUGAAGGAGUGGAAUUUUGGGUAUGAUAAUUGUAUACCAGCAAUCAGUGGAAAUUCUUCAUUCGAUGCUGACUCUUUUCCUGCUGACAACAAGUCGUCAAUCGAGCCUCUGAGUUCUACUCAGACAUAUAUAUCAAGCAAAAUGGAACCCAUUGGCGUGAAGGAUGAAAUGAUCGAUGAGUUAGUUGCACCUAGUAGUGUUAUGUUCCACCCCUAUCGAGCCAUGGAUGAAGCUGUCAGUAGACAGUCUUCUCUCAGUGCUGAUGAUCACUUUUUUGACAAAGACUCAAAGCUUUCUGGUUUUGGUAUGUCAACUCAGAAUCUUGGUAACCCAGUGGAUCAGAAAGAAGACAUGAUUGUUUCAUAUAAAAGAGCUUGUCAUUUUCAAGAUAAUAUGAAUGGAAGUUCUACAUCCCCCAUUGAUGGUCCAUCUAUGAAUUCAAAUGCCUCAGAACGUUAUUUGCCAGUUGCUCAGCCAUUCACUUCAAGCAAGAAUCAGGCUUACGUUAAGGACGAACAUGAGGAUAAAGUAACUCAUUCUACGAGCAUGCAUCUUUCAAAAGUCAGCCCUGAAUCAAUUCAUAGUAACUUCUCUGACAAGUCUCCUGCAGAAGAUGACUUUGAUGUACGCAUCAUUGAAAAUAUCAGUCAUCCUGCACCCUCAAAUCGCUCUCCAGUGGUUAUUAAUACUAGUUACCAUGUGCCCUUGAAUCGCUUUCCAGCACUUGGAAAUACCCUCGUUAAUUCACAGCAAUUGGCACCUAGUGAUCAUUACACAGGAGUGGGAGGCAUGAGAUGCAAGGCAAGAGAUGAGCAAUUGAUUUUGAGAGUAGCAUUGCAGGACCUUUCACAGCCGAAGUCGGAAGCUAUUCCACCAGAUGGACUUUUAGCAGUUCCUCUAUUACGACAUCAGAGAAUUGCAUUGUCAUGGAUGGUUCAAAAGGAGACAGCUAGUUUGCACUGUUCGGGAGGAAUUCUUGCGGAUGAUCAGGGAUUGGGAAAAACAAUAUCGACAAUUGCACUUAUACUUAAGGAAAGGCCUCCUUCUUAUGGGGCCUGUCAAGAUGUUAAAAAGCUCGAGCUGGAAACUCUUGAUUUGGACAAUGAUGAUGAUAUGCCUUCUGAGAUUGUUGGACGGAAGCAACAUGCUGAUGCCCGUGAAGUUAUCCCAAAUGGAAUUCAAAAGAAGAGCAUGAAACCUUUGGUACAGGCAAAGGGAAGGCCAGCGGCUGGAACACUUGUUGUUUGUCCUACAAGUGUCCUCCGCCAGUGGGCUGAGGAGUUGCAUAAUAAGGUAACUGGAAAAGCUAAUAUCUCUGUGCUAGUUUACCAUGGAAGCAACCGAACGAAGGAUCCUUGUGAGCUUGCUAAGUUUGAUGUUGUCCUCACCACAUAUUCAAUUGUCAGCAUGGAGGUGCCAAAGCAGCCUCUUGUUGAUGAAGAUGAUGAGGAGAAAGUAAAGCCAGAAGAGAAUGAUAUUCCACAUGUGGGUUUCUCAUCCAGUAAGAAAAGGAAAUAUCCUCAAGGUUCUGCUAAUAAAUGUUCAAAGGGUAAAAAGGGAUUAGAGAGUGCAAUGCUUGAGUCUGUUGCUCGCCCUCUUGCUAAGGUUGGAUGGUUUAGGGUUGUCCUGGAUGAGGCUCAGAGUAUUAAGAAUCACAGAACUCAAGUAGCUAGGGCCUGUUGGGGUCUGCGUGCAAAACGCAGGUGGUGCUUAUCAGGGACUCCUAUCCAGAAUGCGAUUGAUGACCUUUAUAGCUACUUUAGAUUUCUCAAAUAUGAUCCUUAUGCUGUAUACAAGUCAUUUUGCUCUACAAUUAAGGUCCCAAUUAGCAAGAAUCCAGCAAAAGGGUACAGAAAACUACAAGCUGUUUUGAAGACAAUUAUGUUACGCCGCACAAAAGGCACACUUCUUGAUGGCGAACCUAUUAUUACUUUACCACCUAAAUUUAUAGAAUUGAAAAGGGUGGAGUUUUCAAAGGAAGAACGAGAUUUCUACUCCAGGCUAGAGGCUGAUUCACGUGCACAGUUUGAGGAAUACGCAGCCGCUGGAACUGUCAAACAAAAUUAUGUUAACAUUUUGUUAAUGCUUUUGCGUCUUCGACAAGCUUGUGAUCACCCUCUUCUUGUUAGACGGUAUGAUUCACAUUCUUUAUGGAGAUCUUCAGUUGAGAAUGCAAAGAAACUUCCCCGUGACAAACAACUUUCGCUUAUGAAUUGUUUAGAAGCUUCUUUGGCAAUAUGCGGCCUCUGCAAUGAUCCACCUGAAGAUGCUGUUGUUUCUGAAUGUGGUCAUGUCUUCUGUAGCCAAUGCAUUUCUGAACAUCUUACUGGUGAUGACAACCAGUGCCCCAACACAAAUUGCAAAGUUAGACUAAAUGUUUCUUCAGUGUUUUCAAAAGCCACUUUGAACAGUUCUCUAUCUGACCAGCCUAAUCCAGAUAGCAUUGGUUCAGAAGUUUUUGAUGCUGUAGAGUCUUUCUAUGAGGAUCACUCAUAUAAUUCUUCAAAAAUUAAGGCUGCUCUUGAGGUUCUGUGUGCAAUGUGUAAACCACAGGCUUGUAUUUCUGGAAAUAGUUGCUUAGAUGAUCGAGUUGAUAGAAAUGCUGGCUGUCCUGAAAAUUCUUCUGAUAUUCGUGUGGUUGAACCACUUGAGGAUGUUCCUAAUAGACAGAACUUGGAUGUGGAGACGUGUUCUAAGAAUUCAAAUAAGGUAGUUAGAGAAAAAGCAAUAGUCUUUUCACAGUGGACAAGGAUGCUGGACUUGCUUGAAGCAUGCCUUAAAACUUCUUCCAUUGAGUAUAGAAGACUCGAUGGAACAAUGUCAGUUGUUGCUAGAGAUAAAGCUGUCAAGGAUUUUAACACCCUUCCGGAGGUGUCAGUUAUGAUUAUGUCCUUGAAAGCAGCUAGUCUUGGUCUCAACAUGGUUGCAGCUUGUCAUGUUCUUCUUUUGGAUCUUUGGUGGAAUCCUACCACAGAAGAUCAAGCAAUUGAUAGAGCACAUCGUAUUGGGCAGACUCGUCCUGUUACAGUUUUACGGUUGACUGUGAGAGAUACUGUUGAAGAUCGUAUUUUGGCCCUUCAGGUACUUUCCUUUUGUUCUUUAUUUUUUCUGUUUUAUUUGUAGUUUAGCUUUUCUAACCACUACAGUACAAGCUUGGAUAAGCUGAAGCGCAAAUGUAUUAGACCAAUGACCACCUUAUGUACUACUCGUACAUUUUUUGUAUGGAGUCAUGGACUGGGGAAGAACAGCAAAAGAAGAGAGAGAUGGUCGCCUCUGCAUUUGGAGAGGAUGAAACUGGUGGUCGCCAGACUCGUCUGACAGUAGAGGAUCUGAAGUACCUGUUUAUGAUGUGAUUAGAGAGUUUUUAUAGGUUGAGCAGAUUUUGUUUUGCUAACACAAAAGGUAUUGUCAAUAGGUUUGUUUUUGGCAUUGGCAGCAGCAGAAUUGAUAGUUGAAGAAGAUUAUCUGACCAUAGAUCUAAAAGGAGUAGCAUGGGGCUUUAUCAACAAGAAGAUUAUGUUCAUAGUCU